This 62-nucleotide transfer RNA is filed under the name Neelides sp. FZ-2019. RNAcentral's name for it is "tRNA-Pro". Lineage: Eukaryota; Metazoa; Arthropoda; Collembola; Neelipleona; Neelidae. The record is from RNAcentral.
CAGGAUAUAGUUUAUAAAAAUUUAUGUUUUGGAAAUGUAAGAUAAGGUUUCUUUUUUCCUGA